UAGGGAAUAUUGGACAAUGGGGGCAACCCUGAUCCAGCAAUGCCGCGUGAGUGAUGAAGGCCUUAGGGUUGUAAAGCUCUUUUACCCGGGAUGAUAAUGACAGUACCGGGAGAAUAAGCCCCGGCUAACUCCGUGCCAGCAGCCGCGGUAAUACGGAGGGGGCUAGCGUUGUUCGGAAUUACUGGGCGUAAAGCGCACGUAGGCGGCGAUUUAAGUCAGAGGUGAAAGCCCGGGGCUCAACCCCGGAACUGCCUUUGAGACUGGAUUGCUUGAAUCCGGGAGAGGUGAGUGGAAUUCCGAGUGUAGAGGUGAAAUUCGUAGAUAUUCGGAAGAACACCAGUGGCGAAGGCGGCUCACUGGACCGGCAUUGACGCUGAGGUGCGAAAGCGUGGGGAGCAAACA
RNAcentral lists this ribosomal RNA (402 nucleotides) under uncultured bacterium. RNAcentral's name for it is "partial 16S ribosomal RNA". It matches the Rfam family "Bacterial small subunit ribosomal RNA", at positions 355 to 774 of the family's 1533-position model. The record is from RNAcentral. RNAcentral also lists the same sequence under 1 other name.